RNAcentral lists this ribosomal RNA (677 nucleotides) under uncultured organism. Its description in RNAcentral is "SSU rRNA". It matches the Rfam family "Bacterial small subunit ribosomal RNA", at positions 60 to 735 of the family's 1533-position model. The record is from RNAcentral.
AGNCGAGCGAAGCACUUUUGCCUAUUUCUUCGGAUUGAAGCAAUUGUGACUGAGCGGCGGACGGGUGAGUAACGCGUGGGUAACCUGCCUCAUACAGGGGGAUAACAGUUGGAAACGGCUGCUAAUACCGCAUAAGCGCACAGUACCGCAUGGUACCGUGUGAAAAACUCCGGUGGUAUGAGAUGGACCCGCGUCUGAUUAGCUAGUUGGUGGGGUAACGGCCUACCAAGGCGACGAUCAGUAGCCGACCUGAGAGGGUGACCGGCCACAUUGGGACUGAGACACGGCCCAAACUCCUACGGGAGGCAGCAGUGGGGAAUAUUGCACAAUGGGGGAAACCCUGAUGCAGCGACGCCGCGUGAGCGAAGAAGUAUUUCGGUAUGUAAAGCUCUAUCAGCAGGGAAGAAGAAAUGACGGUACCUGACUAAGAAGCACCGGCUAAAUACGUGCCAGCAGCCGCGGUAAUACGUAUGGUGCAAGCGUUAUCCGGAUUUACUGGGUGUAAAGGGAGCGCAGGCGGUACGGCAAGUCUGAUGUGAAAGCCCGGGGCUCAACCCCGGUACUGCAUUGGAAACUGUCGGACUAGAGUGUCGGAGGGGUAAGUGGAAUUCCUAGUGUAGCGGUGAAAUGCGUAGAUAUUAGGAGGAACACCAGUGGCGAAGGCGGCUUACUGGACG